GACGAACGCUGGCGGCGUGCUUAACACAUGCAAGUCGAACGGAAAGGCCCUGCUUUUGUGGGGUGCUCGAGUGGCGAACGGGUGUGUAACACGUGAGUAACCUGCCCUUGACUUUGGGAUAACUUCAGGAAACUGGGGCUAAUACCGGAUAGGAGCUCCUGCUGCAUGGUGGGGGUUGGAAAGUUUCGGCGGUUGGGGAUGGACACGCGGCUUAUCAGCUUGUUGGUGGGGUAGUGGCUUACCAAGGCUUUGACGGGUAGCCGGCCUGAGAGGGUGACCGGCCACAUUGGGACUGAGAUACGGCCCAGACUCCUACGGGAGGCAGCAGUGGGGAAUAUUGCACAAUGGGCGGAAGCCUGAUGCAGCAACGCCGCGUGCGGGAUGACGGCCUUCGGGUUGUAAACCGCUUUCGCCUGUGACGAAGCGUGAGUGACGGUAAUGGGUAAAGAAGCACCGGCUAACUACGUG
RNAcentral lists this ribosomal RNA (468 nucleotides) under uncultured bacterium. RNAcentral describes it as "partial 16S ribosomal RNA". It matches the Rfam family "Bacterial small subunit ribosomal RNA", at positions 28 to 507 of the family's 1533-position model. The record is from RNAcentral.